GUCUAUGAACUGGCUACUUUUCUGAUGAAACCUGGUGGCCCGGCUCUAUGGGGUAAUGCAUUUGAAAGAGCGGUAAAUGCCCAUGUCCAAAGAGGCUACACUAAAGCAGUUGGUGUGUUCCAUUCCGAAUACGGAAUCCACAACAGAGUCCAUGUUCUGUGGUGGAACCAGAGUGCAGACAGUCGUGCAGCUGGGAGACAUCUGUCUCACGAUGACCCUAGAGUCGUGGCUGCUGUUCGGGAAAGUGUCAACUACCUAGAUACUAUGCAGAAUAUGCUCCUGAUCCCUGUGUCGUUUUCACCACUGAAAUAGUUCCCUGCCUAGCAUUGAGCAUCUGGUCCCUGGUGUGCGAUGCAUCAGCAGAUGAAGCUUCAAUUCUCUCAAGAGAAAUAUUUCUACUUUUAUUUGAAGGAAGUGAAUAUCCCUUCUGUAAGACAACCCCCUGCUCCAUGAGACCAGACUUCCAAGCUUGUGGUAAUAUUUUAAAAUUAUUAAUAAAUAUAUAAAUUUUUCCAAUCUUUUUGCCUGAAAUGUUUUCUGCUCUAGUAGAUUAUUUCAUAAUGUCAAACGGGAUUCAUGAAAAUAUAAUUUCAUGUCUUUCACAUGAAAAACUGAAUAAAUAUCUGUGUUGUCUAUAUUAAUCAUCAGUCACUCAUUUAGAAAAUAAUAGAUUCGCAUACUAAAAGUUUUGACAACUCAGGUUUAUAUGCCGAAAUGUUAUUUAUAAUUUACAUAAUAUUUAUCUC
Acomys russatus (golden spiny mouse) is the source of this 746-nucleotide long non-coding RNA. RefSeq lists it as uncharacterized. NCBI's taxonomy places the organism in Eukaryota, Metazoa, Chordata, Mammalia, Rodentia, Muridae. The record is from RefSeq and is a predicted model, not a curated record. The transcript is spliced from 4 exons.